This 107-nucleotide ribosomal RNA is filed under the name uncultured bacterium. RNAcentral's name for it is "partial 16S ribosomal RNA". It matches the Rfam family "Bacterial small subunit ribosomal RNA", at positions 1377 to 1482 of the family's 1533-position model. The record is from RNAcentral.
CCCGUUGUACACACCGCCCGUCACACCAUGGGAGUGGGUUGCAAAAGAAGUAGGUAGCUUAACCUUCGGGAGGGCGCUUACCACUUUGUGAUUCAUGACUGGGGGUG